This 432-nucleotide ribosomal RNA is filed under the name uncultured bacterium. RNAcentral's name for it is "partial 16S ribosomal RNA". It matches the Rfam family "Bacterial small subunit ribosomal RNA", at positions 29 to 507 of the family's 1533-position model. The record is from RNAcentral.
ACGAACGCUGGCGGCAUGCCUAACACAUGCAAGUCGAACGAGACCUUCGGGUCUAGUGGCGCACGGGUGCGUAACGCGUGGGAACCUGCCCUUAGGUUCGGAAUAACUCCCCGAAAGGGGUGCUAAUACCGGAUAAUGUCUUCGGACCAAAGAUUUAUCGCCUUUGGAUGGGCCCGCGUUGGAUUAGCUAGUUGGUAGGGUAAAAGCCUACCAAGGCGACGAUCCAUAGCUGGUCUGAGAGGAUGAUCAGCCACACUGGGACUGAGACACGGCCCAGACUCCCACGGGAGGCAGCAGUGGGGAAUAUUGGACAAUGGGCGAAAGCCUGAUCCAGCAAUGCCGCGUGAGUGAUGAAGGCCUUAGGGUUGUAAAGCUCUUUUACCCGGGAUGAUAAUGACAGUACCGGGAGAAUAAGCUCCGGCUAACUCCGUG